RNAcentral lists this ribosomal RNA (512 nucleotides) under uncultured bacterium. RNAcentral's name for it is "partial 16S ribosomal RNA". It matches the Rfam family "Bacterial small subunit ribosomal RNA", at positions 28 to 507 of the family's 1533-position model. The record is from RNAcentral.
GAUGAACGCUGGCGGCGUGCCUAAUACAUGCAAGUCGAACGAAACUUCUUUAUCACCGAGUGCUUGCACUCACCGAUAAAGAGUUGAGUGGCGAACGGGUGAGUUACACGUGGGCAACCUGCCCAAAAGAGGGGGAUAACACUUGGAAACAGGUGCUAAUACCGCAUAACCAUAGUUACCGCAUGGUAACUAUGUAAAAGGUGGCUAUACUACCGCUUUUGGAUGGGCCCGCGGCGCAUUAGCUAGUUGGUAGGGUAAAGGCUUACCAAGGCAAUGAUGCGUAGCCGAAUUGAGAGGUUGAUCGGCCACAUUGGGACUGAGACACGGCCCAAACUCCUACGGGAGGCAGCAGUAGGGAAUCUUCCACAAUGGGCGAAAGCCUGAUGGAGCAACGCCGCGUGGGUGAAGAAGGUCUUCGGAUCGUAAAACCCUGUUGUUAGAGAAGAAAGUGCGUGAGAGUAACUGUUCACGUUUCGACGGUAUCUAACCAGAAAGCCACUGCUAACUACGUG